UGUAGUCAUAUGCUUGUCUCAAAGAUUAAGCCAUGAGUGUGCAAGUAUAAACUAAUUCAGACUAUGAAACUGUGAAUAGCGCAUUAAAUUAGUUAUAGUUUGUUUGAUGGUACCUGCUACUCAGAUAAUCGUAGUAAUUCUAGAGCUAAUACAUGCAACAUUCCCUGACUUCUGGAAGGGAUGCGUUUAUUAGAUAAAAGGCCGAUGAGGGAUCGCUCGGCCAUUCUGAUGAUUCAUGAUAACUCGACGGAUCUCACGGCCCUCGUGCCGGUGACGCAUGAUUCAAAUUUCUGCCCUAUCAACUUUCGAUGGUUGGAUAGGGGCCUACUGUCACAGUGUUUCUUCGCAUGUUUCGUAAGAUCGGCGCCUUACAGAGGGGAGAUGGCCGAAGAGGCCAAGUUAGGCCAAUCCAAGUCCAAAGAGAGUUGAUGCCCGUCCUAGUCUCAAGGUUUCUUCGCAUGCUCAGUAAGGUCGCAUUCGUAUUUCAUAGUCAGAGGUGAAAUUCUUGGAUUUAUGAAUGAUGAACCACUGCGAAAGCAUUUGCCAAGGAUUUUUUCAUUGAUCAAUAACGAAAGUUUGGGGAUCGAAGACGAUCAGAUACCAUCCUAGUCUCAACCAUAAACGAUGCCGACCAGGGAUCAGUGAAUGUUACUUUUAGGACUCCACCGGCACCUUAUGAGAGCUCUUUCUUUGGGUUCCGGGGGGAGUAUGGUCAUAUGGCUUAAACUUAAAGGAAUUAACAAAAGGGCACCACUAGGAGUGGAGCCUCUGGCUUAAUUUGACUCAACAUGGUGAAACUUACCAGGUCCUGACAUAGCAAGGAUUGACAGACUGAGAGCUCUUUCUUGAUUCUAUGUGUGGUGGUGCAUGACCGUUCUUAGUAGGUGGAGCAAUUUGUCUGGUUAAUUCCGAGAAUGAAUGAGACCUCAUCCUACUAACUAGCUAUCCGGAGGAAUCCUUUCACGGUCAGCUUAUUAGAGGUAUUGUGGCAUUUUAGGCCACGGAAAUUUGAGGCAAUAACAGGUCUGUGAUACCCUUAGAUGUUCUGGGCCGCACACGCGCUACACUGAUGUAUUCAACGAGUCUAUAGACCUGGCCGAUAGUAGCGUGUAGUCUUGUAAAAUUUCAUCGUGAUGGUGAUAGAUCAUUGCAAUUGUUUGUCUUCAACGGGGAAUUCCUAGUAAGCGUGAGUCAUCAGCUGGCGUUGACUACGUCUCUAAACUUUGUACACACUGCCAUUCGGAUCACGGCGACGGGGCGAUCUCGCCACUCACGACAUUAUGAGAAGUCCACUGAACCUUAUCAUUUAGAGAAGGAGAAGUCGUAACAAGGUUUCC
This 1337-nucleotide ribosomal RNA is filed under the name Dioscorea alata (purple yam). Its description in RNAcentral is "bacterial SSU rRNA". It matches the Rfam family "Eukaryotic small subunit ribosomal RNA". Lineage: Eukaryota; Viridiplantae; Streptophyta; Magnoliopsida; Dioscoreales; Dioscoreaceae. The record is from RNAcentral.